GAUGAACGCUGGCGGCGUGCCUAAUACAUGCAAGUCGAGCGAACAGACGAGGAGCUUGCUCCUCUGACGUUAGCGGCGGACGGGUGAGUAACACGUGGAUAACCUACCUAUAAAACUGGGAUAACUUCGGGAAACCGGAGCUAAUACCGGAUAAUAUAUUGAACCGCAUGGUUCAAUAGUGAAAGACGGUUUUGCUGUCACUUAUAGAUGGAUCCGCGCCGCAUUAGCUAGUUGGUAAGGUAACGGCUUACCAAGGCAACGAUGCGUAGCCGACCCGAGAGGGUGAUCGGCCACACUGGAACUGAGACACGGUCCAGACUCCUACGGGAGGCAGCAGUAGGGAAUCUUCCGCAAUGGGCGAAAGCCUGACGGAGCAACGCCGCGUGAGUGAUGAAGGUCUUCGGAUCGUAAAACUCUGUUAUUAGGGAAGAACAAAUGUGUAAGUAACUAUGCACGUCUUGACGGUACCUAAUCAGAAAGCCACGGCUAACUACGUG
This 497-nucleotide ribosomal RNA is filed under the name uncultured bacterium. RNAcentral describes it as "partial 16S ribosomal RNA". It matches the Rfam family "Bacterial small subunit ribosomal RNA", at positions 28 to 507 of the family's 1533-position model. The record is from RNAcentral.